RNAcentral lists this ribosomal RNA (442 nucleotides) under uncultured bacterium. RNAcentral's name for it is "partial 16S ribosomal RNA". It matches the Rfam family "Bacterial small subunit ribosomal RNA", at positions 338 to 795 of the family's 1533-position model. The record is from RNAcentral.
CCUACGGGUGGCAGCAGUAGGGAAUCUUUCACAAUGGGCGCAAGCCUGAUGGAGCAACGCCGCGUGCAGGAUGAAGGCCUUCGGGUUGUAAACUGCUUUUAUAAGCGAGAAAUAUGAUGGUAACUUAUGAAUAAGGAUCGGCUAACUACGUGCCAGCAGCCGCGGUCAUACGUAGGAUCCGAGCAUUAUCCGGAGUGACUGGGUGUAAAGAGUUGCGUAGGUGGCAUAAUAAGUAGCUAGUGAAAUCUGGUGGCUCAAACAUUCAGACUAUUAGCUAAACUGGUAAGCUCGAGACCGUUAGGGGUAACUGGAAUUUCUAGUGUAGGAGUGAAAUCCGUAGAUAUUAGAAGGAACACCAAUAGCGUAGGCAGGUUGCUGGGACGGUUCUGACACUAAGGCACGAAAGCGUAGGGAGCAAACGGGAUUAGAUACCCUAGUAGUC